CGCGGUUUUCCCUUCCAGUUCGAAGUCCGUCUCUUUCCCCUUUCCGUGUGAAGUCAAAUCUUUCUCCACUUCCAUUUUCUAUUCUGAAAUCUGAAGAAGGGACCUAUGUCCCGCUUCCCAUGUCUGUAAAAAAAAAACCCUAGAUUCUUGAAUUAGACGCUCUGAAGUGUUUGCACUCCAAGACGAUGUCGCUUGCUUUCCAAUCCCUUUCACUCACUUCACCUUCUCCUUCCCCUCCCCCUUCAACCUUGUGCUUUUCCACAUUCUUUUCCAGGAAUCCCUGCUUGUCUCUUCGAUUCGCUCCUAGCCGUUUCCCAAACACCCUGCAUUUCCAAAUUCUCGAACACAAGUUUCGAAGCCCCUUUAAUUUUGGUUCCAUCAAUGCUCAUCAGUUCUGUCCUCGAGUUUCUACAUCUGGAGGAGUAGGCCGGAAACACGGUGGUGAUGGUGAUUUCGAUAUCGAUUCCUUACUUUCAGCUGCCGAGUUGUUUUGCCUCGUUACGUCAUUGAUUGGUUCUGUUGGUUUUGCUCUGAAUUGGGCGAAAGCCAGGUCUAAGAGCGUGUUCUUGGCGGUGUUCGGUGACGGGAUUUUCGUUGGCGCAAUUUUGUUUCUGGUAGCUGGGGUUGCAAUUGGUGCUUGGAUUCGUAGGCGGCAGUGGAAUCGAAUUUUUCGAGAGACAGCGAAGGGUGUGUUAGGGGUGAAUUUGAUGGAAAAGACUAACAGGCUGGAGGAGGAUUUGAGGAGCUCGGCAACGCUUAUCCGAGUCUUGUCGAGGCAGCUGGAGAAGCUAGGGAUUAGGUUUAGAGUUACUCGAAAGGCUCUGAAGAAGCCCGUCGAGGAGACUGCAGCUUUAGCUCAAAAAACUUCUGAGGCCACUCGAGCAUUAGCAGUUCGGGGAGAUAUUUUGGAGAAGGAGCUUGCUGAAAUCCAGAAGGUCUUAUUGGCUAUGCAGGCCUACAGUAAAUGCAGAGUUGCAGCCUGAGCGUGCACUAUUCAUCCUGGAUAACUGGGGGUCUUUAACUUCGAUCGGUUUGCUUUGUAUGCAGUUUUUCAUUCAACUUUAUCCUCUCUAUUUUUUUCUGAAUAAGAACUAGUCAACAGGUUCAGUCGUAGCUGAGCUUCUGUGGAGUAGUUUCGGGAGCUUUUACACGGGCAACGAGGACAUUAAUUCAAAUAGAGAGACGUCAAGCUGGGAACCUGCAACUUACUUUUUUCAUGUCAUGGAAGCUACAUGUAACACUUGCCCUAUCAAAACCAUACAAUUUGGUGGCUACGGAAGGUAAGCAAGCUGGUGUUCAGACAGAGGAAUGAAACAGCCAAGUUCGUCAGGUGCAGUUUAUUGCUCUCUCUUUGCGUCUAAAGAAUUUAAAAGCAGUGAAACACGAUCAAAGAAAAAGAAGAUCAUUGAAGUCGUAAUAUUGCGAGAAAUAGAGUAGGGUUUGGACUUUGGAGGGUUUUGAUUUGUUCACAAGGAUGCAGUCUUUAUAAUGGUCUGAUCAAUAGUCUGUAAAGUACAUUGUGAUUUUUACCGAGACUUAACAACUCCAUGGCACUGGAACCAAGCAGUCUCAGGUACACUUUUCUCAUACAUGUUUUUGUAUUUUCGUUGAUUUAUGGGAAAAAGAGACUGGUUAGGCUAAGAGAGUUCAGAUGCAGAGAAAGUUUCCUUUUUUCUGCUCAGUGCUGACUGAUUCACUGUUGAAUUCCAAAUGAACUCAGAAAACAGUUAUCAUAUUUAUGUUGAUGAGAGGUUCAUACGUUCAAGCUGAAAGGUAACAAUAAAUGUAAGGAAAAAAUUGAAAAUAAAAUUCGCAAAACAAAAAAGGAGAACAAACAAAGAAAAUUUAAUUGUACAUAUGUAGAAAAUACAAUUCCCUUCCCCCCCCCGUGUGAAUAAAUAAAUAAAUCUUUAUUCCUUCUCCGUGUGAAUAAGGCUUUCAACUUUCGUGAAAGAGUCUUCUGAAGUUGGCCAUCAGAUCAGACUAGGGGUUCUUGAGGUUGAGUUUGCUCACUGCCGUCUCAGGCUCUUUUUCUUGGAGUUGGUAAUGUUUCGGAAUGAUCUGAUGCAUGGUUGAUAAUUUAGUUGACUAAUUGCCUUUUAAAAAUAAAUCAACAGAUCUGGAGAGACAGUCGAGGAGUGUGGCAGAGUAUUUGCAACAUUUUUUUCGCCUUUAACGAGCAAACACUACAUAUUCUUUGUAUUUAGGGCGACUUGAUCUUCUAACUUGACACUUUUUUAUUCAUUUGGAUCAACCAUGGUCGCUUGAGUUCUGUAGAAUUUUCAAUAUUUGAUUAUUUUUUCCAGUUGAAUGUUGGUAGAUUUCAAUAGAGGCUUCCCCCCUCUUCAUUUGGUAGUUGGUUCAAAGUUUUGAAUCAAACCUAGCUAAUCCACUUGCAUUCUUAAUUUAGAUUUGCCAACUUGAGUAUAUUUAAAUUAGUUUAGUCAUAUAUGAUCAAGUUAUCGAUCAUAAAGUUAGAAGAUUAAAUCCUCGUCCUUACUUAUUAUUUUGAACAACCCCUCCCCCAAAAAAUAGUGUCCUACUUUCCCAGUCAUAAGUAAUUGUUAUAUACAUAGGAUCACGAGAGAUUUGAAUUAUAAAUUGGAAGAAAAGCUAGCUUUGUAAAUACUUGAAGUUAUAGGCCAGAGAUAAAUAAAUCUCGUUUAUGAGCAACUUUGGCGCAAUGAAACAUUUAAGGAAAGAGCAAUUGAAAAUAUGCUAGUUUGGAUUUUAUUGAUUUAUCUUGUGCUCAUUAUUCUUAGACAUUGGCGUACCUUGGUAAAUGAAGAUAAUGGUUUUAUUAACAAGAAUAACCAAAAAAUUUGGUCCACAGUCAAAAGGAAUACGGAGAGAGAGAGGCAAGGCAAUAGAAAAGAAAAGAAAUCUCAAUGGGUCCAAUCCAUUCCAUCAGCCACUAUUGGUUGCUUGGGAGAUGAGAUGAGAUGAGAUGAUGUAGUCGCUGCAUGCCCAUCAGCGCAGCGUUGAAAUGUAAAAUCAAUGGCAGUGAAGAUUGGAGAAGAGUGAAACAAAUGCAAAGGGGAGAGUGGGUGAGUAAAUGCGGUCCCUUUACAGCAGCCAGGCUAGUGAUGGACAGUCUAAGGCUGUAGAAUGGAAGAAUAGGUCGUCCUUUGUAUGUGAUGUGGAUACUCCAAAUUUGUUUUCCCCCAUUGUAUUGUUCCUUUCACUGUUCUGCUGCAAUCUGCCCUCUUACUCAGAACUUCUCUGCUCUCUCCUCUCUCGUUCCUGUCGGAUAACUUAUGACUCACCCACCCUUUCCUACACCAAUUUAUGCUAUCUCUCUCUCGUCUCUCUCUUUCUGUUUCCCCUUGCACUUGCCUCUAUUAAAUGCUCAUCUCUUCUCUCUCUCUCUCUCUCUUCCUCUCCCCUAGCCACUUUGUGGUUGUGGUGCAGUGGGUGGAAGUGGAACAAAGUAACAGAAAAAUCUGGCAAAUGGGUCUUUAUUGCGUAUGAUUUUUACUCCUUUGCUUCGUUGGAUCCAUUAGUUCCGGGCAUCAAUGACUUGAUGACUACCAUGAAUUUGCCUACUGUUUGGGCCACCUCAUUACUUAUUCUGCUUCUGCAUCUUCUUCUUCUUCUCUCCGCCUCUUCUCCUCCCAGAGGUAUAUUUUUUGAAGACAAAACCAGGCUUGGAUCCACCCCACCAAGCUGCCAUAACAAAUGCAACGAGUGCCACCCAUGCAUGGCCGUUCAAGUGCCUAGCAAUGCCCGGCCGCGCCAGCCGGUUGGAUUCUCACUCGGCCUUGCCUAUGAGAUUUUUUGACUCGUCUUCUCAAGGGAACAGAUACUCAUUUUACAAGCCAUUGGGUUGGAAAUGCCGCUGUGGAAACCACUUCUUCAAUCCUUAGACCAAAUUUGCAUGUCCAGUCUAGAGGGUUGGUCUUCCUUCCAUUCUUCUGGUUUUGUAAAUGACAUUUUAUUGUUUCUUUUAUUAUAAAGUUGGAAUUCUUUGUUCAGAGAUAAGUAGUUUGUUCGGUUUUUGCAUUUAUUGUACAUAUACUCCAACCCUAUACUAUCUA
Non-coding RNA from Benincasa hispida (wax gourd), 4037 nucleotides. Lineage: Eukaryota; Viridiplantae; Streptophyta; Magnoliopsida; Cucurbitales; Cucurbitaceae. The record is from RefSeq and is a predicted model, not a curated record.